Molecule: ribosomal RNA, 355 nt
Filed under: uncultured bacterium
Lineage: Bacteria
Description: partial 16S ribosomal RNA
Rfam family: Bacterial small subunit ribosomal RNA
Source: RNAcentral
UAGNGGAGAUNCAAUUCGGGANNNAAUCCAUGGGCUCAACCCAUGAACUGUUUUGAAANUGUUUCCUUGAGUNUNGAGAGGCAAGCGGAAUUNCUAGUGUAGCNGUGAAAUGNGUAGAUUUAGGAGGAACACCAGUGGCGAAGGCGGCUUGCUGGACGACAACUGACGNUGAGGCGCGAAAGCGUGGGAGCAAACAGGAUUAGAUACCCUGGUAGUCCACGCUGUAAACGAUGAAUACUAGGUGUGGGAGGACUGACCCCUUCCGUGCCGCAGUUAACACAAUAAGUAUUCCACCUGGGGAGUACGACCGCAAGGUUGAAACUCAAAGGAAUUGACGGGGGCCCGCACAAGCAGU